GCACACCGAGUGUCAGCUGCUGCUGCAGCUCCGUGCAUCGUCCCCAUCCCCGCGGCUGGGCCAGCCUUCCCCACCAGGCUCUGCUCACUCCCGCCCGCUGUUUGGCCAUUCGGCUUUUGUCUCCUCUGGACGCCUCCUCCCCUGCCCUUGUGUGCUGGCACACAAAUGCUGUCCUGGCUCCAGCUCUCCCUGCACCCAGAGCUGGGAGAGCUCCGGGGAGCCUGGGCCUGUGGGAUUGCUGUACAGAUCCACCAUGGCCUCUGACGUGGAGAACUGCGGAUCAGCUGAGGCUUUGAUGUUGCUGCCCAGAGCUUGACAGGACACUGGGGCCACAGGAGAGGGGACACGCCGGCCGCCGUCCCCAGUGACCUGACUGCAGAAGAGCGUCAAGAACUGGAGAACAUCCGGCGGAGGAAGCAGGAGCUGCUGGCUGACAUCCAGAGGCUAAAGGAAGAGAUAGCAGAAGUUGCUAAUGAAAUUGAAAGCCUGGGAUCCACAGAGGAAAGGAAAAACAUGCAGAGGAACAAACAGGUAGCCAUGGGCAGAAAGAAAUUUAACAUGGAUCCUAAAAAGGGGAUCCAGUUCUUAAUCGAGAAUGGCCUGCUGAAGAACACUUGUGAGGACAUCGCCCAGUUCCUGUAUAAAGGGGAGGGGCUCAACAAGACAGCCAUCGGCGACUACCUUGGGGAGAGGGAUGAGUUCAGCAUCCAGGUCCUGCAUGCGUUUGUGGAACUGCACGAGUUCACCGACCUGAACCUCGUCCAGGCCUUGCGGCAGUUCCUGUGGAGCUUCCGGCUCCCUGGAGAGGCCCAGAAGAUUGACCGGAUGAUGGAGGCCUUUGCCCAGCGGUACUGUCAGUGCAAUACUGGGGUGUUCCAGUCUACAGACACCUGCUAUGUCCUGUCCUUCGCAAUCAUAAUGCUGAACACCAGCCUACACAACCCCAAUGUCAAAGACAAGCCUACGGUGGAGAGAUUCAUCGCCAUGAACCGAGGCAUCAACGACGGAGGAGACCUGCCGGAGGAGCUGCUCCGGAAUCUCUAUGAGAGCAUCAAAAACGAGCCCUUUAAAAUCCCCGAAGAUGAUGGGAAUGACCUCACACACACUUUCUUCAAUCCAGACCGAGAGGGCUGGCUGCUCAAGCUCGGAGGUAUGUAACCCUGCACCUGCUCGCUCUCUCUGCCAGGCCACUGUCAUUGCUGCAGCGUUUUGUUUUUUUUUAAUUUUGUUAUUUUUGGUUAUUUUGUUUUUUAAUUGCUGGUAGUGUUAAUGCUGCUUCUAACUUACUGUACAGUCCCUAGGGAACUGGCCAGGAUCAGGGGUUUGGGGCAGUGUUCACAGAAGCAGUACUGCAGCUGCCCGGUCAGAGCUCUAAGAACUAACCGCGAGUAGUCAACAAUGCUAGCCCAGAGCCAGCCAAGGAAGGCAGAGGGAGACGUCAGCUGUGUGCUCAUGGCAAUUGCUGGAUUCAAAUUCCCAUCCGUGCAUCAGCCUGAUUUCUGGAGUGAGGGAGCAAAGCAGAGGGUGUUAUCUUGUAACUUCCCAAAGUCACAUGCUUCUGCCACCGUGGUUGACAAAGUUAGGAAAAGAUUGAACAGUUGACAAUAUUGGGCCAUUUGCCUUUCCACGAAAAAGACAAGUAUUGUCUUCUAAACUCACAAGUGGAUAUUUUUAAAACCUCAAAACCAGAAACCCCUACCUAUAGCCCUUUAAUUCCAUUUCUUGGGUAUCAGGGAAGGACUCACAGCCUGGAUCCUCUGUCUGUGUCUCCUCCGGUGUAAACCGUCCUCUGUUACAAAGAGUCAUCCUCAAAACCCAGGUCGGCCUCUGCUUGCCGACGUAGCACAGCCAGAGUGGAGCAAGCAGAGCGCAAACACCGCGUGCUCCUUCAGUGCUGGGACCAGGCGGCUGGACUGCUGGGACAGUGUCGGCCCUCUGUGUAAGGGAGGCCUGAGAAGCCCUGCAGGGGAGGGGUCCUGUGAGUUCCACAGGGACUGUCCUACGCGCACAUUGAUCUGUCUGCUUGUCCCAUGUCUGUUUUUCUUUCCACGUGGAAGUGUUCCCCGUGGGCCCGCAGCGAUGCUUUGUGGUAGAGGGCUCUGUGGUGCAGCCAACCGUCCAGGGGACGUAAGGAAGCUUUGACAGACAGAACUUCCGGGCUUCGCUUUUUCUCCUCCAUUCCUGCCACCUUGUUUCUUUUGGUAUCUAACUCACUCUCUUCAUCAUUUCCUGAGUUCAUUGUCACCUGGGGUAGUCCUGUGACAGAAUGCAUGGGAGGUCAGCAUGGGUGGACCGUCCUUGUGUAUCAAAGCCUGGGUGGGAAAUGGUCUCCCCAAGAGACUAGAAGACAGUUACGCUCAGACUCAGAAGUGAGAAAGGAUCUGCCCUAAGACACAUUGCCUUCAGAUUUGAACACAUUUGUGUAACUCCGCCCAGCCCUCCCUGGUAUCAACAUGCAUGUCAUGUUGUUCCUAUGGCUUUCCCAUUCACGCCACUUAACCAUGAAACUUACAGAAUCCCUCACUACCAUAACCACACACAUGCCACAGCACAUGAUUGCUUGUGGCAUAGUCCAUCUGGGAACCUCGGUCUCAGUCAUGUAGAAUCAUGUAGUUAACGAUGGCUGCUUACAUCUACUUCCCCACCCCUCUAGCUCAGACACCCAGGCAGAGAAGUCCAGGCCCUAACCUGCUCUGCUGGGUUUCCUCCUUCACAGUUCAGAGAUGAGCCUGCAGGCAGAUGCUGGCAUUGGAAAGAGUCUCUGUAAAGAUGCCUGGCCCUGCAUGGCUGUCAGCAACAGGGCAGAGGAGUAGGCAUGGCAGGUGUGCCACUCCCCUGCCUUCCACAGAAACUAGAGAAAAGGUGUUCUCCAUAGUUGGGGCCUAGAAAAGGGGAAGUGCUAAGGAACAGGGACAGAGUGUGUGUGUGUAACUCCACGUGUGUAUCAGCAUGGGAAGGAAGAGGGACAGAGUAUGUGUGUGAGUGUACAAUGCCACAUGUGUACCAGCAUGGGAAGGAACAGGGACAGAGCGUGUGUGCAACGCCAUGUGUGUAUCAGCACGGGAAGGCCCUGGAUAACUCUGAGUAGUUCAUGUCAAGACAGUCUUCCUCGACCUGAGGUAAGUGGAGACCAUGGGGAUCCUGAGCAUGAUGCAAGUGAGGAUGUAGCUUCCUUCAAAGUGGGCCCAGUUAAGCCCCACCACCACCCUUGUCCCCGUACCAAUGCAGAACAGCAUAGAGGGCCUCACGCUCGCUACUUCCUAGCAUGGAGGAGUACUGAGAAAGGCUCUGAGCAGCAGCUAGUCACCACCUCCUUGAUGCCAGAGCUGCCUCUAGUCACUUAGUUUUAAAGAGUCAUGUGAGUCCACAGAAGGAACAGCUCCUGAGCCCCCCUCUUGGACAAGCCAUUCCUUUCCUGGUGAAGGAAUCCUGCUUUGAUUCAUACCCACAAUUCUGGGACAUGACUUUCAGGACACUAACUGAGGGGGCUAGAGUCAGUGUGGAACUUCACUAUAGGCAGGUGGGUGAUGGGAAGCCACAGGUUUGGUUUUAAAGGGCUCACAGUGCCUCACUUUCUGUAUCUUUUCUCCUGUCAUUUCCAUGGAACCCCUGAGGUGCCCAUGCCUCCUGCGUCAGGGUGCUGACCCCUCCUUUCUCCUUUCUUAGCCUGUCUUUGUCACAGGCUGUGGCUGGCUUCUCCAGCCUCAGGUGGCAGGGUAAAGACCUGGAAGAGGCGCUGGUUCAUUCUGACUGACAACUGCCUUUACUACUUUGAAUACACCACGGACAAAGAGCCCCGCGGGAUUAUCCCCCUGGAGAACCUGAGUAUCCGAGAAGUGGAGGACUCCAAAAAGCCGAACUGCUUUGAGCUUUAUAUCCCUGACAAUAAAGACCAGGUGAUUAAGGCCUGUAAGACAGAGGCGGACGGGCGAGUGGUGGAAGGGAACCACACUGUGUACCGCAUCUCAGCCCCAACUCCGGAAGAGAAGGAAGACUGGAUCAAAUGCAUCAAGGCUGCCAUCAGCAGAGACCCUUUCUACGAGAUGCUUGCAGCACGGAAAAAGAAGGUCUCCUCCACAAAGAGACACUGAGGGGGCACCAGGGCAUGGCCAGCCCAUGAGGCUGUGGCCCUUUCUCCUGCCUCCCCUGAGGGCGCUGUGGAGCCAAGCAGAGGAGAGCAGAGGGCUUCUCUGCCAGUUCCUGCCGUUCCGCUCCUAGAGACUUGCUUCAGCUUUUGCAGUUUUCUAAGUGGGAGAAGGGUGGGCGGCGAGGGAUAGGCUGGAGACUGCGGCUGCCCUCAUGGCUCUGGAGUCGCUCUCAGAGCCAGCAGCUGCCAGCAGCUGGUUCACAGCCUCAGCUCAGCAGGGCUGAGGCACCACAGGGAGCUCGCUCUUUACCUCUCAGUGUUCCUGGCCAAGGGCCUUCGCCUCUGCUCCGAGAAUGCCUGUAAGGAUGUACUCUGUGUACUAAGGAGAGAGGGGGAAAGGAAGAGAAGCCACGCACUAUAAAGAUUUAUUUUUGUUUUUUUUAAAGCAAAAGUGAACGUAGCACUGUACUCUGCCCUCCUGUGCCCUGCUUCCCCUAAAAAGGGGGGCCCUGGGGCUGCGGGCACCCCAGGGGCUGCGGGCACUCCAGGGGCCGCUGCCUCAUGACUGUGUGGGCAAGACGGGCAGAAGCAGGACUGCUGGCAGGGCCUAGCAGACACAGGAGGCCUCAGGGCCCCAGCAGGGCAGCAGGCAGGCAGUAUGGGCAGCUCCCACCCAGUGCCUGGGGGACAGAGUGAAGGUGGUUAAUCCCUUGCUGGCCCUCAGUGCCCAGGCCCACUGCUCUUUAAAGUGGAAAGUCUGCAUUUUCCUAAUAACCAAAACUGUGAGGAGCUCACCCAUGGUGCUGGGUGGCGACUGUUUCAUAGCUGGUUUUUCUUUCUCCUCCCCAAGAGCUCCACUCCUCGUUCUAGAGGAAGGAGCAGGUCUUACCUGAUCCCCUUGGGGCUUCAGCCUUUUCUGCCUCAAAAGCCGCCCCUAUUCUGGACUAUUCUGGUGCACUCUGUGGUAGCCUCCAGGAGCAGGGGCCUUUCUCAGCAGGUUGCAGUGCAGUCAGGCAAGGGUAAGGUGGCCUUUUUGUCCCCUGCCCUCUAUGGCAUGGCAUACCACAGCACACAUGUGAGUGAACCCUGGCCUCCUAACUCAGUGAGAAGGGAGCCAUGAAACGCAGCAUCUCCUGCCGUUCUCUCAGGGACUCUCAAGGGCAGCUCCUGUUCCUUGGCCAGGGCUAGCAUGCCAGUCUAGGCAGAGCAGGUGGCAGGCGGUGUCUUGGCACACUCCUCCACGUGGCCAAGGCCUUGGUGGCAGAAUGCUGCCUCCAGGCAGGUGGAGGAGCCAUGGGUCCCCGCUGGGCUGUGUGAGCUCAGCCUCUCUGAUCUCAGAAGGAGGUCAACAUCUCUGGAAAUAGCUUUGCAGAGAAGGGUGGGUGUAGGGGGCGGCACUCGCCCCUCCUGGGGAUACAGCAGGAUCCGGCCUCAAGAGGCUUCAGGUGCUUGACACUCGAGUGUGAAGGUGACAGUGACUGCUAAGGGUCCAGGCUGGAAACCUGAGCCUCCUGCCGCAGAACCAGUCAAUGCCUGCCCAGGUUGUGUGGGGAGUCAGGCAAGUGCAGAGCCCUCCCUUCACACCGGUUCUCACAGGUGUGUCCUGGGCAGGCCAGCACCUGGCUCAGUGUCAGUCUAUUUAUCAGAGGUGUAAAUAAUCCACACAUAGUUUUUCUCCUUUUAGAUUAUUUUGUAUUUGUUUAAAAAAUAUUUGUCAAAAUACAAAGAAAUGACUGAAACUUGUUGACAGGGUUUUUAAAAAUAUUAUUAUUAUUAUUAUUGUUUUGUUUUUGCCUUGUAAACUAGCUCCAAGGAACUGCAGCAAAUAAACUCCAAAUCUGCCCACAUCA
Molecule: RNA transcript, 5937 nt
Organism: Mus musculus (house mouse)
Lineage: Eukaryota; Metazoa; Chordata; Mammalia; Rodentia; Muridae
Gene: Cyth1
Gene name: cytohesin 1
Exons: 14
Source: RefSeq, marked validated